CUAUGCUGUGGGAAAUGCUAUGAAACAACAGCCACAGAGUCAACAGCGCUGAUUGGUAUGGCUCAGAUGACCAGUGCUGUUCAGAGGAUGGUGAGGGGUCACCAGGGAAGAAGCCAUGGAGGAGCUGAAGCUUGAGCAGGCCCUUGAUGGAAGGGGUUGGGGAAGAUGUCACUGCAGAGCGUGAGCUGGGGAAGAUGAAGAAAUCAGCUGACUGGAGUCUUCAGAAAUGGGGUGGAAUAGCGUGUGCCCUGUGUUGUUGACUACCCUUGUGUUGUGCUGAUAUUCCAUCACAGAGGUGAGUGCCCAGAGAACGGUAAGGAGGGAAGCCCAGAGGAAAGGCUUUG
RNAcentral lists this long non-coding RNA (344 nucleotides) under Homo sapiens (human). RNAcentral describes it as "PREDICTED lncRNA (TCONS_00041598)". Lineage: Eukaryota; Metazoa; Chordata; Mammalia; Primates; Hominidae. The record is from RNAcentral.